CCAGAGAAUUUAGCAGAGAUGCUUUAGUGCCUUCGGGAACUCUGAGACAGGUGCUGCAUGGCUGUCGUCAGCUCGUGUUGUGAAAUGUUGGGUUAAGUCCCGCAACGAGCGCAACCCUUAUCCUUUGUUGCCAGCACGUAAUGGUGGGAACUCAAAGGAGACUGCCGGUGAUAAACCGGAGGAAGGUGGGGAUGACGUCAAGUCAUCAUGGCCCUUACGAGUAGGGCUACACACGUGCUACAAUGGCGCAUACAAAGAGAAGCGACCUCGCGAGAGCAAGCGGACCUCAUAAAGUGCGUCGUAGUCCGGAUUGGAGUCUGCAACUCGACUCCAUGAAGUCGGAAUCGCUAGUAAUCGUAAAUCAGAAUGUUACGGUGAAUACGUUCCCGGGCCUUGUACACACCGCCCGUCACACCAUGGGAGUGGGUUGCAAAAGAAGUAGAUAGCUUAACCUUCUGGAGGGCGUUUACCACUUUGUGAUUCAUGACUGGGGUGAAGUCGUAACAAGGUAAGCGUAGUGCU
Molecule: ribosomal RNA, 522 nt
Filed under: uncultured bacterium
Lineage: Bacteria
Description: bacterial SSU rRNA
Rfam family: Bacterial small subunit ribosomal RNA
Source: RNAcentral